CAGGGCCCUUGUGAUCUCAACACAGGGCUCCUGUUUAACGCUGUCUUCCUAUGGCCAAACUCUUCGGGGUGGAGGGGGUAGUAGUGUCACUGCCUGCCCUCUCCUAGAAUAAAUCCUCUCUCUGGUACAGUUGUCUCCACAUAGACAAAGGAGUUUGUAAAUUAGAUACACUCCCAACUGUGCCUAAAAGACAUGGCUCAAGAACAGUGACUCUCUUUCACUAUUGACCUGGGCUCGUGAACUAGAGGUGAAAGACCUGUGACUAGUUCCUUGAACAAUCCAGGUCUGUCCUCUAAAUUACAUAUUGUAAGAUGAACACAGCACGUGCUGCUAGAGCUAACAUUUUAAUAGAUUUUGAAAGCACGAGUCAAGCAAAUAGAACAAUGUGAGUUUAGUCAAUUAAUAUUUACAUCAUUAAGAUGUUUAACUAGCCCAUAAUCAACUGAAAAUAACAGCCCUAACAGAUUUAGGGAUCAAGAACUAUUUUGGGACAGGGACUUUUAUCUUCUUACAUGUGUAAAGCACUGUUACUGUAACUACAUAAACAAACCGCAAUAAAAAUAGCCAAACCUAAAGGGCUCUAAA
Chelonoidis abingdonii (Abingdon island giant tortoise) is the source of this 585-nucleotide non-coding RNA. NCBI's taxonomy places the organism in Eukaryota, Metazoa, Chordata, Testudines, Testudinidae. The record is from RefSeq and is a predicted model, not a curated record.